UUAUUCUACUCCCAAACCCCUGUGAACUUAUACCUUUACUGUUGCUUCGGCGGGUUAACGCCCCGGAAGGCCCGCGAGGGCCGCCGGAACCAGGCGCCCGCCGGGGGACCCAAACUCUUGUAUCUUUUUUAUAGCAUGUCUGAGUGGAAUCAUAAACAAAUGAAUCAAAACUUUCAACAACGGAUCUCUUGGUUCUGGCAUCGAUGAAGAACGCAGCGAAAUGCGAUAAGUAAUGUGAAUUGCAGAAUUCAGUGAAUCAUCGAAUCUUUGAACGCACAUUGCGCCCGCCAGUAUUCUGGCGGGCAUGCCUGUUCGAGCGUCAUUUCAACCCUCAAGCCCCCAGUGGCCUGGUGUUGGGGACCGGCGACCUCGCCCGGGGGAACACCCCCGGCGCGUCCGCCGCCCCCGAAAUGAAUUGGCGGCCCCGUCGCGGCCUCCUCUGCGUAGUAGCACAACCUCGCAGCGGGAGCGCGACGCGGCCACUGCCGUAAAACGCCCAACUUUUUUUAGAGUUGACCUCGGAUCAGGAG
Molecule: ribosomal RNA, 530 nt
Filed under: Metapochonia bulbillosa
Lineage: Eukaryota; Fungi; Ascomycota; Sordariomycetes; Hypocreales; Clavicipitaceae
Description: eukaryotic LSU rRNA
Rfam family: 5.8S ribosomal RNA (bases 169-322)
Source: RNAcentral